UUUAUUUCUAGGGAAACUUUAUUGCACAUCUCCAAGUAUAUUUAUUCCGCUCCCUGACUUCGCCCCCGAGAGUGCGAGAGCGAGCGUUGCCCUAACUCGGAGCGACGAUAGGAUAUCAGUUAUUGCAGAAGGAGGCAACAAGCUUGAGGUAGUAGCUGCAUAAUCUGCAAGAAGUUCUGUGGGUGAAGUGAGCAUACCUAUGAGUUUCUUGCAAUUUAUGCAAUUGCUGCCUCAAGCUUGUUGCCUCCCUUUGCCAAAACUGUAAGUACAAAGCCCAGGUUUAGCCACACUAGAUAUUUCUUGGUAUUGCUAGAUUUAUAUUUUCACAGUUAACUAGGCUUCGAAAAUAAUCAUCCUAUAAGGUGAAGUGGUGAACUAUAAUCUGAAUUCUGAAAUUCAAUUGUGAGAUGCGAUCUCAUGGGCAUGAAGAUUUAAAUGUCUGUUUAGAAUGAACUGAAUGAGUCAAUGGGCACUGACCUAAAUGAAAUGGCUUUGAUGACUGAGUUGAGAGACGGACUGAAGCUGCUAUUCUGGUAUCUUUGCAAGAUGGAUUAUGAUAGCACAAUGGAGGCCGAUACCUUCUUUUGCCUAACCCUCAGUGGCCUUGCAAGAGCUUCCUGAAUGAGCUACAGAUGUUGACCACCUAUUAUAACAUACCCUUGAUUAUUAUGCAUUGCCAACUUUGUAUUUAAGUAUUGGCAACUGCUUCCCAACUGGAAUGAUGUAGCCACAGUCCCUGCACUUCAUUGUGUUCGCUGUGGUUGAGAUGUGACAUAUAUGUAAUAUGGAAUGAGAUAUGCUGUCUUUGGUA
Long non-coding RNA from Musa acuminata AAA Group (dessert banana), 811 nucleotides. RefSeq lists it as uncharacterized. The record is from RefSeq and is a predicted model, not a curated record. NCBI's taxonomy places the organism in Eukaryota, Viridiplantae, Streptophyta, Magnoliopsida, Zingiberales, Musaceae. The transcript is spliced from 4 exons.